AAUCUAAGUCUAGAUUAAAAAUAUUAUAUCAAAUUUAAAAUAUAAAUCUUAAACACUAAAUCUUAAAUCUACACCUUAAUCCUAAUACCCUAAACCCUAAACUUAAACCUACACAUAAAGUCAUGAAUCUAAUAUUUUCAAACUUAUAAUAUAAAUUUAAAACUUAAAAUCCAAAUAUAUUCUAAAACUUAAUCAUAUACUUCAUUCUAUAUCUUAACCCUAAACCAUAAACCAAAUACCUCAUACUAACAUAUAUCAUAAUACAUUAAAUCUUAAUUUUAAAUAAAUUAUAUUCAUACAAGAAAAAUAUACUACUCCAAACUAAUAACAUUUCAAAUUAUACAUUUACAAAAUAAAAUUAAACCAACAAAUUUAUAUAAACCAAAAAAUACAAUCUAAUCUUUUCAAUCAAACCCUGAACCAUAUAUAUAUAUAUAUCAUACCCCAAAUUCAAACCCUACAUACAAAGUCAUAAAUCUAAUCACUAUAAAUAAUAUAAUUACUAAAGUAGAAUCUAUUCCUUAUAUAAACAAUAACUUUAUUAAUUUUAUUUUCAAUUAUCUAUCUUAACCACAAUUCUAUUUCACAAACCUCAAACCAUAUACUUUAUACUUAACUACAAUUAUAUAAACUAAUAGUCAACAAUAGUAUUAUUAAUUAACAGAUUGUCAAAAUCAAACUGUAAGAUAUUGAUUAUAAAAUCUUAAUUUUAUAUCAAACAUCAAUUUUUAAAAAUUAAAAACCAAAAGUCAUCAAAAUGAAAAUAGAAUCACAAAAGAUAGGAAAAAAAACAAAAAGGAAAAAAUCUAUUGGAAAACUAUUAAAAAAAGGAAAACGAUAGGCCAAUCAACUCUCAUCACGCGGAUCACCAUUUGAACCGCAGGAUCCAAUUAAAUCAAUGGAUGAGAUUUUUUUAUUUUCUUUUCUCAUUUUCUUUUUUUCUCUUUCUCUCGCUCUCUCCACUUACCUCGUCGUGACCUCUGAUUCUUCUCUUUCACUCUCUUUGUAUUUGUCUCUAUCUCUCAUCUUCUUCUACAUGCUUUAAACAAUUUUUUUUCUCAACCACUAUUACCAUAAACGAACCUGUCUCAACCAUCAUCACCCUAACCUAAUCUGUCUCAACCCCAUCAGCUCAAGCGAAAUCUGUCUUCUCUAUUUGUUUAUUUCUGAAUUUAUACAUGAGAUUUUAUGGAGGAGACAGAAGAUUUGGCGGAGGAGAAGGAGGCGUGACGAGCUGAUCGAACGGUGGCUUCAGCACCAGAUUGAAUCCUUGCUUCAGCCAUAGCAUCCAGAGCUGGUUGAGGCAUCGGUGUAGAAGAAGUGGUAUGUGACUGAAAGAUGGUGACGUUGGAGCGCUGUGGUGACGGAGACGGAGCCGCAGCUGAUAUGCGCCGACUUAGGUUUAGGUUUAGUUAAUUAGGUUUGGUAUAAUGUGUUUUAAUUAGUUUUGGUUUAAUGUGUUCUGGUGUAUUUAACUUUUUAAUUCUGGUUUAGUGUUACAUUUAUUUGUAAUUUAAGUUUAAUUAAUAAAAAAACAUUUAUUUGUAAUUUAAGUUUAAUUAAUAAAUAAAAAUUUAUUUUUAA
Molecule: long non-coding RNA, 1584 nt
Organism: Brassica napus (rape)
Lineage: Eukaryota; Viridiplantae; Streptophyta; Magnoliopsida; Brassicales; Brassicaceae
Exons: 2
Source: RefSeq, a predicted model, not a curated record